GGAACAAAGUUCAUGUCUUUCAUACUAAUUUUUCUUCCUUUCUAAAAAUAUAUAUAUGUUUUCAGGAUGUACCAAAGAAGAGUUCUGGAACGUGCUUUGUAAGAACAUGAACGAAGUCCCAACACAGGUCAUCUGGGGAAAUGAAGAUCAGGUAUUCUGGUGAAUAUAGGAACUGGUACUCUUUGUCGCUCUAGGAAUGGAAUAUGAACGAGAACAAUUAUUUAGGUUGCUUUGCAUUUUAUUUCCCAGAAUCGUCACUCUCAUGAGGUGGCGCUGAAGCAGGUAGAAAUAGAGUGAUUCAAAAAGAAAAAAGCUGAUACUAGCUGAGGGUUUGAGUUUAAGUAAAGCUGAGGCUUGAAAGAUGCCAGACUGGCAGCAAAGGAGUCCCAGUGACCUCGUGACUGAAACAGGACUGCUGGAGGCAGCGCUAGCUUUACCGUGCUGCCCCAGGCGCGCUGCCUGGAGCUUCACUUGGAGGGGCAGAGCAGUCUGAACUCUCUCAAGUCAUGUCUCCUGCUGCAAAUGCCAAGAUUAUCAAUUAUGAAUGUGUUCUGCGUGCUAGGAACUAGAUCAGACUCAUUUCCCAUAGAUCAGCCAUCCUGGAUACCGAGGACCACAGUGAAAGAAUGCAAUGUGACUAGAGCAGAAAGGUUGCUGGUCUUGUCACUAACCUGAUACAAUUCCAUCCGUGGCCAGGAUGGCUAUGUUGAACUGGCGGAUGUCUCUCUAAGCCUGAAUAGCACAGCAUUGAUCCCUAUGGAUAGAAACUCCUAUCUGAAAAACAGAGAGCGGUUCAGUAAAGUAGCUUAAGAGUGGGGAAAUGUUGGUCCUGCCCUUACUAGGAGCAGAACUCUGCUAGCUACAAUCCCAUUUAAACACAAGGGGUGUUAAAAUAGUAGGGUUCUUGCAUUAUUACCCUGAUCUGAGUGUUCAAAGUGUUCUAAAACUGUGUUAUAGCCUGCCUAAGAGGAUAGGUAUCAGAAGGGGGAAAAUAGGGUCUGGUUUUCAGAAGUGCUGAACAUCUCCAACUCCAGUUUAAAUUUAUGCUUAGCACUUCUGAAAAUCAGGCCUAAAAGAACCCAGCCUGCAGAGGGAAAAAACACCAUUUUUAAGGGGAGAAAAUCUUGUUUAGGGUCAGCACACAGUGUUAGAGCACUGCUAGUAUCAGCCAUUCUGAUCAGGGUUGCAGCUCGCAUUGUUCUGAACACUGGGUGGAUAAGGACUAAAUGUUCUCAUUACUUAACUAUUAUGAACUUCGUUUGGGUAGAUAAAGGAAAUAAAUGAGGCGCUAGCUGAAGAAUCUGAUGUGGGGAACAAAUGCUUGUCAUAGUAUCCUACUCUCGUACCCAAAUGCAUAUAAAAUAAAUGCAGAGAUUGUUUG
Molecule: non-coding RNA, 1381 nt
Organism: Chrysemys picta bellii (western painted turtle)
Lineage: Eukaryota; Metazoa; Chordata; Testudines; Emydidae
Source: RefSeq, a predicted model, not a curated record